GAUCCCGCUCCACUUCCUGCGGCGGAUUCUGCGCCGCUCCAUCACUCCCUGACAGGCCGCAGUAGCGGUCACAGCACUGCUCCACUUCCUACGAUGGAUCCCGUGCAGCUCCACUACUCCCUGGCAGGCCAUAAUAACGGCCACAAUCCUGCUCCACUUCCUGCGAUGGAUACCGCGCGAUUCUUCCAUCCGCUGGCAAGUCGCGACAACGGACGCCGCUCC
Molecule: long non-coding RNA, 222 nt
Filed under: Elaeis guineensis (African oil palm)
Lineage: Eukaryota; Viridiplantae; Streptophyta; Magnoliopsida; Arecales; Arecaceae
Description: long non-coding RNA (EGUI_LNC018350)
Source: RNAcentral